UCAAGCGCUAGCAUUACCUCCUGAACUAUACGUCUGCUGCUGCUGCUCUAAGAUAUGCAUGUAUUACGUGGGAGAAGAGAUUUAGGUCUUCAUCCAACCAUCGAAGAAAGUGGAUGGAAAGAUACUAUGGGGUUUAAGAAAUCACCUAGGUUUAUCCUAAAUUUUUCGUGAGAUGACUCAUCAUUUAUGCUUAUUCAUGUGCUUGACAAGGAUAAGGUGGACCAAACCUAUAUAUUCCGUUGCUCGAACCAAACAAAAAUACGAGACGAAGUGAGAGGAUGAUAUAUGGAUCGAUUGUAUAACUCAAAGCACAAUUACCUCGUGCAUAAGUUUCGAAGCAAGUGAUGAGAUUUUGCUUUUGGAGGGUAAGGAAGGCGCUCUGAAAUGCUAGCGCCUUAAUUUAUCUUUUGUAGACCCUCUGUCUUAUAGACCAAGGUCUUAGAGCGUUCGGAAGACGCUUUUCAGAUCACCUAAAAGCUUAUCAUAUCGUUUGCAGAACUGUAUAUAUUCCCUGCCCAUGUGAAAUCAAAAGACUACACCAAACUAGCAGUAGCAUUCCGUUUCCACCACCUUUGCGUAUUGUCUACGAAGUCUUUCAGGUGAAAUCGAUCAGUAUCAACAAACUGCAUGCAGAAGAAAUUAAAUCAGAUAAGGAAGCAGUAGCGUAGGUCUGUUUCCCACCUCCUAAAAUUUUAGCUUCUAAAAAAAGUUUUAGUCAGUUUUUAGUCUAUGGUCUAAAGCAUGUUUGGUUCCACCUCCUAAAACUAACUAAAAGCAAUAAAUGUUGUGGUAAAAUGAUCAUACUGCCCUCCCCAUGCCCCUGCUCCUUCUUUGCCCGCCCCUCCCCUC
This 849-nucleotide long non-coding RNA is filed under the name Setaria viridis. RNAcentral describes it as "long non-coding RNA (SVIR_LNC003850)". The record is from RNAcentral. Lineage: Eukaryota; Viridiplantae; Streptophyta; Magnoliopsida; Poales; Poaceae.